This 253-nucleotide ribosomal RNA is filed under the name uncultured bacterium. RNAcentral describes it as "partial 16S ribosomal RNA". It matches the Rfam family "Bacterial small subunit ribosomal RNA", at positions 524 to 776 of the family's 1533-position model. The record is from RNAcentral.
UACGUAGGGCGCAAGCGUUGUCCGGAAUUAUUGGGCGUAAAGAGCUCGUAGGCGGUUUGUCGCGUCUGUCGUGAAGGCUUGGGGCUUAACCCCAAGUCUGCGGUGGAUACGGGCAGACUAGAGGCAGGUAGGGGAGAACGGAAUUCCCGGUGUAGCGGUGAAAUGCGCAGAUAUCGGGAGGAACACCGGUGGCGAAGGCGGUUCUCUGGGCCUGUACUGACGCUGAGGAGCGAAAGCGUGGGGAGCGAACAGG